AUUGAACGCUGGCGGCAUGCUUUACACAUGCAAGUCGAACGGCAGCGGGGGCUUCGGCCUGCCGGCGAGUGGCGAACGGGUGAGUAAUACAUCGGAACGUAUCCUUGAGUGGGGAAUAACGCAUCGAAAGAUGUGCUAAUACCGCAUACCUCUAAGGAGAAAAGCAGGGGACAGAAAUGCCUUGCGCUGAAGGAGCGGCCGAUGUCUGAUUAGCUAGUUGUGGGUAAAGCCUACCAAGGCGACGAUCAGUAGUUGGUCUGAGAGGACGACCAGCCACACUGGGACUGAGACACGGCCCAGACUCCUACGGGAGGCAGCAGUGGGGAAUUUUGGACAAUGGGCGAAAGCCUGAUCCAGCCAUGCCGCGUGAGUGAAGAAGGCCUCGGUU
Molecule: ribosomal RNA, 388 nt
Filed under: uncultured bacterium
Lineage: Bacteria
Description: bacterial SSU rRNA
Rfam family: Bacterial small subunit ribosomal RNA
Source: RNAcentral